This 492-nucleotide ribosomal RNA is filed under the name uncultured bacterium. Its description in RNAcentral is "partial 16S ribosomal RNA". It matches the Rfam family "Bacterial small subunit ribosomal RNA", at positions 29 to 507 of the family's 1533-position model. The record is from RNAcentral.
AGUGAACGCUGGCGGUAGGCCUAACACAUGCAAGUCGAACGGCAGCACAGUAAGAGCUUGUUCUUACGGGUGGCGAGUGGCGGGCGGGUGAGGAAUACAUCGGAAUCUACUUUUUCGUGGGGGAUAACGUAGGGAAACUUACGCUAAUACCGCAUACGACCUACGGGUGAAAGCAGGGGAUCUUCGGACCUUGCGCGAUUGAAUGAGCCGAUGUCGGAUUAGCUAGUUGGCGGGGUAAAGGCCCACCAAGGCGACGAUCCGUAGCUGGUCUGAGAGGAUGAUCAGCCACACUGGAACUGAGACACGGUCCAGACUCCUACGGGAGGCAGCAGUGGGGAAUAUUGGACAAUGGGCGCAAGCCUGAUCCAGCCAUGCCGCGUGUGUGAAGAAGGCCUUCGGGUUGUAAAGCCCUUUUGUUGGGGAAGAAAAGCAGCAGGUUAAUACCCCGCUGUUCUGACGGUACCCAAAGAAUAAGCACCGGCUAACUUCGUG